UACGGAGGGAGCUAGCGUUGUUCGGAUUUACUGGGCGUAAAGGGCGCGUAGGCGGUCGUGACAAGUCACUUGUGAAAUCUCCGGGCUUAACUCGGAACGGUCAAGUGAUACUGUCGGACUAGAGUACAGAAGGGGCAACUGGAACUCUCGGUGUAGCGGUGAAAUGCGUAGAUAUCGAGAGGAACACCUGCGGCGAAGGCGGGUUGCUGGGCUGAUACUGACGCUGAGGCGCGAAAGCCAGGGGAGCGAACGGG
Molecule: ribosomal RNA, 254 nt
Filed under: uncultured bacterium
Lineage: Bacteria
Description: partial 16S ribosomal RNA
Rfam family: Bacterial small subunit ribosomal RNA
Source: RNAcentral